CAGUCGCCACGGGAAUACGAGGGGGGCAAGCGUUGUUCGGAAUUAUUGGGCGUAAAGGGCGCGUAGGCGGUUUGGCAAGUUUGGUGUGAAAUCUUCGGGCUCAACUCGAAGUCUGCAUCGAAAACUGCCGGGCUUGAGUAUGGGAGAGGUGAGUGGAAUUUCCGGUGUAGCGGUAAAAUGCGUAGAUAUCGGAAGGAACACCUGUGGCGAAAGCGGCUCACUGGACCAUUACUGACGCUGAGGCGCGAAAGCUAGGGGAGCAAACAGGAUUAGAUACCCGCGUAGUCCCUGUCUCUUAUAC
RNAcentral lists this ribosomal RNA (301 nucleotides) under uncultured bacterium. Its description in RNAcentral is "partial 16S ribosomal RNA". It matches the Rfam family "Bacterial small subunit ribosomal RNA", at positions 509 to 807 of the family's 1533-position model. The record is from RNAcentral.